GUGAUGGGGAGUAAUAAUGCCUAGUACAGAGUUGUCAGAAUGCAACAAUUUAACACACAUGAAAAUGCCUAUCGUGCUAAAGUAAAUGUUGAAAUUAAAAAAUAAAAAUAAAAAGAACAGACCAGGCACAGUGGCGCAUGCCUAUAUCCAGACACUUUUGGAGGCCAAGACAAAAGGAUCACUUGAGCCAGGAGUUCAACACCAGCUUGGACAAAACAGGGUGACUCCUGUCUCUACUAAAAAAAAAAAAAAUGAUUACCCAGGUGUGGUGACACGUGCCCAUAGUCCUAGCUACCUGGGAGGCUGAGAUGAGAGAAUUGCUUGAGCCCAAGAAGUCAAGGCUACAAUGAGCUGUGAUUGGGCCACUGCACUCCUGAGCAACAGAGUGAGACCCUGUCUCAAAAAAAAAUUAAGAAAAGAACUAAGAAAAUUACAGCCCACUGCUAACCUAUAAAGUUAGACUCAUGAUGUCAAAGAAAAUAGCCAGAAAGAAUUCUGGUGGAAUGAAUGACAUAUCAAAUUUAGAAUGCCAGUGUUUGUGUUCUCACAUGUGGAACAGGCUUUUCACAUCAUCAGAAAAAACGCUGUCUAAUGGCUAUGCCAAUAACGUGUGAGAUAAGAGGAUAUUGUCCUCCAUGUCAGGCUGUCUUUCUUAGCAACUUCCUGGAAAGUUACAAACAUUUAUACCUUCAAAUAAGAAGUCCAUCCUUAAAUAAUUGGCUGAGGUCACACCACUGGAGUCAAACAGUUGCAACCUGUCUGAGAGUCAUGAGGAAAUCAGGCAAGAGGAAACGGUGUCGCCUUCUAAGUCCACUCAGGCAGUAGAGGAGGGGAGAAAGAAGAUAAAUGUGCUCAAAAGAAAGUCUGCGAGACAGAUACAUGAGAGAAGCUCCCUGAGGCAGCGCAGAAUUCUGGACUCUGCUUAGAUUCUAAUCCUAAGUCUGCUUCCAACUUACU
RNAcentral lists this long non-coding RNA (957 nucleotides) under Callithrix jacchus (white-tufted-ear marmoset). RNAcentral's name for it is "lncRNA (ENSCJAG00000086698.1)". The record is from RNAcentral. Lineage: Eukaryota; Metazoa; Chordata; Mammalia; Primates; Cebidae.